UCCCAUUGGACCUUAAACCCAAAAGCCUAAAAAAAAUAAAAUAAAAUAAAGAAGACUCCCUGCGGGAGUCUUCUUCUCCCGACCGGCUCCUAAUUAGAGUCGGAAACCUCAUCGAAAAGGAGUCAAACUCCUCUCCUCCGACUCUAUUUAAGGGAGAGAUCCUUCUCCCUUCCUUCCAUCAUGAAAAACUUGAAACGAAACA
This 202-nucleotide long non-coding RNA is filed under the name Elaeis guineensis (African oil palm). RNAcentral's name for it is "long non-coding RNA (EGUI_LNC042270)". Lineage: Eukaryota; Viridiplantae; Streptophyta; Magnoliopsida; Arecales; Arecaceae. The record is from RNAcentral.